UACGUAGGGGGCGAGCGUUGUCCGGAAUUAUUGGGCGUAAAGAGCGUGUAGGCGGUUCGGUAAGUCUGUCGUGAAAUCCUGGGGCUCAACCCUGGGCGUGCGAUGGAUACUGCCGGGCUAGAGGGUGGUAGAGGCGAGUGGAAUUCCCGGUGUAGCGGUGAAAUGCGCAGAUAUCGGGAGGAACACCAGUAGCGAAGGCGGCUCGCUGGGCCACACCUGACGCUGAGACGCGAAAGCUAGGGGAGCGAACAGG
This 253-nucleotide non-coding RNA is filed under the name uncultured bacterium. RNAcentral's name for it is "partial 16S ribosomal RNA". It matches the Rfam family "Bacterial small subunit ribosomal RNA", at positions 524 to 776 of the family's 1533-position model. RNAcentral also lists the same sequence under 1 other name. The record is from RNAcentral.